Molecule: ribosomal RNA, 175 nt
Filed under: Phytophthora cinnamomi var. parvispora
Lineage: Eukaryota; Oomycota; Peronosporomycetes; Peronosporales; Peronosporaceae
Description: partial 28S ribosomal RNA
Source: RNAcentral
UUGGAUGUUCUUCCUGCUGUGGCGGUACGGAUCGGUGAACCGUAGCUGUGCAAGGCUUGGCGUUUGAACCGGCGGUGUUGUGGCGAAGUAGAGUGGCGGCUUCGGCUGUCGAGGGUCGAUCCAUUUGGGAACUCUGUGUCUUUUCUUGCGGCGCACGUUUGUGUGGUUGCGGGGG